RNAcentral lists this long non-coding RNA (312 nucleotides) under Ursus thibetanus thibetanus. Its description in RNAcentral is "lncRNA (ENSUTTG00000008252.1)". The record is from RNAcentral. Lineage: Eukaryota; Metazoa; Chordata; Mammalia; Carnivora; Ursidae.
AUGCUCUUACGAAAUGAAUUUUGUCUUCAAGGAGAUUCAUACAAAGGACUUUUUAUCAACAAAUACAGAAUUCAGAAACUCUCAGUGCAGGAACCUCAGGAUAUUUGGGGGACCUUGAAAAGAGGAAUACACCCAAAUCUACAGCAGGAACAAAAUUAUGUUGAGCUACAAAACCAAUCAUCCUGCUGGAUGUGUGGCUUACUGCCCAUAUCAAGCACUUCAAGCCUCCCUUGGUGGGUUUCUCCAUUACAAGAUGAUCCUUACUACUUGAUACAAAUUCAACCAUUGUGUCCCCUCUGGAAUCUACAAUAA